RNAcentral lists this small RNA (270 nucleotides) under Macaca nemestrina (pig-tailed macaque). RNAcentral's name for it is "Metazoan signal recognition particle RNA (ENSMNEG00000014725.1)". It matches the Rfam family "Metazoan signal recognition particle RNA". Rfam says of the family: The signal recognition particle (SRP) is a universally conserved ribonucleoprotein. The record is from RNAcentral. Lineage: Eukaryota; Metazoa; Chordata; Mammalia; Primates; Cercopithecidae.
GCCAGCCUGUAGUCCAGCCUCCUAAAGAGGCUGAGACAAAGAGGUUGCAAGAUGCCAGGAGUUCUAGGCUGCAGUGUGCUAUUCCAAUCUGGUGUCCACACUAAUUCAGCAUCAAUAUGGUGACCUUUCAGGACAGAGGACCAGCAAGUCGCCUAGAGGGGUGAAUUGGCCCAGGUGAAAACAGAGCAGGUCAAAACCCAUGCUUGAAGUGGGAUCACUCCAUGAAUGGCACUGCCUCCAGCCUGGACAGUUAGCAAAGACCUCACCUCU